This 965-nucleotide unclassified non-coding RNA is filed under the name Gigantopelta aegis. RNAcentral describes it as "uncharacterized LOC121370677, transcript variant X4". Lineage: Eukaryota; Metazoa; Mollusca; Gastropoda; Neomphalida; Peltospiridae. The record is from RNAcentral.
GUGAAGCCUGAAGGGACAUAACUCUUAAAUCUAUCACGCGUGAGAUCACCAUGGAUUGUGUGCAAGCAAUACAUAAUUUUAAACAAAUAAUGGCGAACUUGACAGAUAAAGAAGCAUCUGCAUUUAUUUGUUGGCUAAAAGAAAAUGUUACUUCUGGGUCAGAAGACCAUCUUGAUAUGACAACAGAGAAUGAAGAAAAUGCUGACAAAAUAAUAAAGAAUAUUCAAGAUGAAUUACGACAUUGCCUUCCUGUCGAUGCAAUUUCUGAUACAGAACGUAUUGUCUUCCCAACAUCUGGACCGAAUGCUGAUUGUGACUCCUCCACUACUGUACAUGUUGAUGCUUUCUUGUUUGAGGAGGACAUCAUUGACCAACUGGUUGAUGAAGGCCGACUGAGUCGAAAUUACUGCACAAAGUGUGGAUCCCGGGAGGUGAAACCACUCACAUUUAUCACUCACUCUGCUUCUGCAUCACAAGUGAAGUACAUCUUUAAACACUUGCUUCCCAACUUAACUGGGAAGAUGCUUGUAGACAUUGGUUCCAGAACGGGAGCAAUGCUUUAUGGGGCACAUUUAUACAGCUGUUGCAAAUAUGUUGUGGGAGUUGAAAUUGAUGAGCCAUUCUGUAAUCUCCAAAGUCAGAUUGUAGCAAAGUACAACAUGCAAGAUCGUAUUCAGAUCAUCCAUGGUAACAUCAUGAAUCAACAAGAGAUUUUAAAGUGCAGCCAGGGUUUGGCACUUCCUUUAUGAUACUGUCAAAGAAAAGGGAACACUGCUUGUGACUAAUCCUAGUCUAAGCGAGGCAUUACAUCACCUGAAGAUAUCUAUAGAUCUUGCUAGCUGGGUUGAAGAACAGGAUGCAACUUUGGCAUUGUCAGAAGCAAGCAAACAUUUACCAGACAUCGAUGAUGAAGAACUGACAUGUUUUCAUUUGUACAAGGUUUUGUAAUAAAGUAUUUAUCUAGA